GUCUUUUUGAGUUAUUUUUAAAGUCUGACCUGCCCACUGAAUUUUAAAUGGCCGCAGUAUUCUAACUGUGCAAAGGUAGCAUAAUCAUUAGUCUUUUAAUUGAAGGCUGGUAUGAACGGUUGGACGAGGUAUAAGCUGUUUCAUAUAAAUUUAUAGUAGAAUUUUAUAUUUUAGUUAAAAAGCUAAAAUUUAAUUAAAAGACGAGAAGACCCUAUAAAUCUUUAUAUUUUUUAUAUUUUAAAUUUUUUUGAUUUAGUAUGUUUUUAUUAUAUAAAAUAUUUUGUUGGGGUGAUAUUAAAAUUUAAUAAACUUUUAAUUUUAAAGAAUCAUUAAUUUAUGAUUUAUUGAUCCAUUAGUAGUGAUUAUAAGAUUAAGUUACUUUAGGGAUAACAGCGUAAUUUUUUUGGAGAGUUCAUAUCGAUAAAAAAGUUUGCGACCUCGAUGUUGGAUUAAGAUAUAAUUUUAGGUGUAGCCGCUUAAAUGUUAAGUCUGUUCGACUUUUAAAUUCUU
This 510-nucleotide ribosomal RNA is filed under the name Dacus hamatus. RNAcentral's name for it is "partial 16S ribosomal RNA". It matches the Rfam family "Bacterial large subunit ribosomal RNA", at positions 1829 to 2597 of the family's 2925-position model. The record is from RNAcentral. Lineage: Eukaryota; Metazoa; Arthropoda; Insecta; Diptera; Tephritidae.